This 241-nucleotide long non-coding RNA is filed under the name Phoenix dactylifera (date palm). RNAcentral's name for it is "long non-coding RNA (PDAC_LNC005708)". The record is from RNAcentral. Lineage: Eukaryota; Viridiplantae; Streptophyta; Magnoliopsida; Arecales; Arecaceae.
GAGGGGUGGGGGUGGGGAUGGUAUCGAAGACUUUACCAAUUUAGAAGUUGGCACCUUCUGUAUCAGACUUUUUAAGAAACUCUAUGAUGCAUAAAAUGUUGAAUAUUAUAUGAUGUAUUAUGAUCCCACCAAGAUGCUUUUGAGAUAGAUCAUGCGGAUUGACUUAAAACAUUUUUUUAACUUAAAUAGCCUCCUACCAAUUCUGUUUGGGGAAGGGAAGAUAGAUAGAUAGAGAGAGAGA